AUCUAUAUGUUUCUAGGUCUACAUAAAUUCGAAUUAUAAUAUUAAUCAUGACAUGUCAACACGAACUGUCACCCCUAAUACCAAGAGUAACUAACUUGCACGUCAUCCAUACAUCUCUCGGUACACAAGAAGAGCUGAACCCAACAACAGCAGUGCCACGGAAAGUAGAGCCGACUGUACAGCGGCUGACAAUGGAAUGCGUCCUUUAUCCGACCUUACCAUCCCUUCAAUCACAGGGUAGCUCAUCACCAGGAUGAAGAACGACAGAGCAAUCUGCGCAAGCAACUUGUCCCAACCUCCCAAGACGAGCACCCGAGCGAUUCCUCCGACAAAGGAAGCCAUGCUCAACAUCACUAGAGCCACUAUCGGGGCCAAGAACACGAUCGAUGUUCGGAAAUCAAAUACGCCCUUUUCGUACAUCUCCAUUUGCUCGUCAUCGGCGACUUUGCUAGUAGGCAAGAAGCUCUAUCUCCUCACCCCGGUUUUCGUCAGAACGGCAUUUAUGCUCCCGUAUAGAUAAGUGGUCACCGAGUGGAUCAUCCAUAUCCGUUGCUCGUUUAUAAACGUCCGGACCGAGUGACCACUCACGACGACCUCGUAGAGAUGCUUGGAAAGUGAAGAUAGGAAAACGAAGCAAUACACGAGGAACAAUGAGCUCGAAACCUGGCGUGCCAAAAGAAUCGAUGUUCAUGAGUCAUGAUUAUAUGUUACUCGCGUUCAAUAGCAUCAAAGACUUGAUUGGUUCACGGGAAUGAAAAGCCUACAUAUGAGAAUAGCUUACCUCCGGAUAAAUGGGGACGCCAUUGAAUAGACAUAUCUGGGGAAUGGUGGCUAAGCAGCAGAGAGGCAAGCAGUAGAGGGGGAAGAACGCAAGCUCGGUAUAACACAUGCUCUGAAGAAUGCUCAUUCUCCAUGGUCCAUAAAUCGGAGGAGAGAAUCUGGAGAACCCGACCUGAGCCCACCCGGAACUCCAUCUUGUGAUUUGAACCAGUAGGUCAUUCAAAUUUGUCGUGGAAGCCCCCAAAAAUUGAGGCCGCGAAGGGCAACAGUACACUGAUUUCCAUCCUUUGCAGUGCAAGGCGAAGCUGGUGAAGAAGUCUUCGGUCACAGAUCCAUACUUGAAACCGACCUGGAGCAAGAGCGACCACGAGCUAAAUAAAGAGGAAAUGGAGUCACUAAUAGCAGCAAAUUACAAGGGUUUUGGUUAUUUUGUUCUUUUGAUUGUACUUGCCUCUUGACCCCAUUUUGUUCCGUUUUCAUAGUGACAAGAAGCUAAAUGUUCGGUGUCUCUGCAGACUGCUCCCAGUUCGCUGAGAAUGUUCUUAUUAAGCUUGUCGCUCCAGUGAAGAUGUUUAAUAAACUCAUUGGAAUGGCCAAAGAUUGCUUUCAAAUCCAUGAGAUUAGCUGUAGUACCUUUCCAAUCAGCAAGAGAAGUAGUUGAUUACAUUGCAUGGAUUUGCUAUCCAAGAUCCUACCUUAACAUAUGGCUAUUUUGACUUACCUUCUUGCAUGGGUUUGCUGUACAAGGACUCUCUCUUAACAUAAAAGCCAGUACCAGAUAUUAAAGGUCCUUGCAACCCGUCCAUUCCACACCAUAAUAUCUGAAAGAAAGCCAAAGUUAUCGGUUAAAAAUGGAUUCAUCAAAAUAAUUUCACAUGUACGAUUUGCUCAAUAAGGCUGAGGAACUAGUAAGUGCAUAAUAAAAAAAUUUGAUUACUAUUAUAGUCUUUUUCUCUCACCCCAAAUGGCGAUCUGUGUUUACUGUCGUAGAUGUCGUUCUUGCUGAUAUUAUGGAACGAUUGAGGGAAUUGAACGAACGAAAGCGAUGGAGACAAUGUCGGGUCCAAGUGGAAGCAGAUUGCCCUCCUCGCCGAGGAUGGGUCGUUGCAGUACAUGUCACAGUCCAGCACUAAUACAUACGGCGAGUUGCUUAUCACCCCCGACACGCGAAGCUGUAAAGGAGGAGCAACAUCAAGUAGUGUGAUCGAUAUUACAAGUACAUAUUAUAUGUAUUUAUGCUGUUCUCUUCCAAGUGAAAAUGCGAAACUUGAGUAGCAUACCAGAACAUUGAGAGCUCCAGCUUUGAAGUUAUGAGGGUAAGAAGGCCUUUUUUCCCUGGAGACGUAAACAAGCAGAGGCAUUUGCUGUUGGUCAGCUUGCACAACUUCGUCUGAGGAAUUUCCAUGGAUCACCUGAAGAAUAAUUUCGAUUUUUUAUGUCUCUUGAUAAAAAGUCUUGACUAGAGCCUUUUCUUUUGCUCAUCAAGUGGAAGGGAAUGGAACCAAAGAACUAAAAUGGGUCAGAAUCCCACGUGUCAAAAUGGGUUCGAAUCGUAAAGCGAAUGUCCAAGAUUAAUGAUCAAAUCUGUAUUUAUGGAAAAGUUAACACUGCAAAAAUUUCAAACUAUAUCCACUAUGAUAUAAAUACUCUGACCUUUUUUUAUGUGUCAUUAAAAAUCUUAAAUUUGUCCAUAAUGACACAAAUACCCUAAACUUUCUUUUUAUGAUAUAAUACCAUGAAUGAAAUUGAAAUAGAUGGUAUAUAUGUCACAUAUCUAUAAGCUUAGGUUUCUUCAUAACACAAAAAAAAUUGGGGAUAUUUGUGUUAUAGUAGUCAAGUUUAGGAUUUUUGAUGAUACAAAAAAAUGAAUAAAUUUGGGUUGUGUGCCACAAGGGGCAUAGUUUGGCACUUUAUUGUGGUAUUUGUCCUUUAUGGAACGAAAAGGAACAAUUGCACAACAUAAGCUUGUACUUUCGAAGUAGUAUAUGUUAAUAUAAACUUAUAUUUUGUUACAACUAUUAAUCAUUUGGUUUUUUAAUUAGCAUGAGUAAUACACAUGGCUUUUGAGGUGUAUUACUCAUGCUAAUUAAAUAUCUCUCUUACCCUUAACAGCCGUGAAACUGACAAAUAUAUAAAAAUGGGUGAAAAUUAAAUUAACUGAAAUACUUAUAUAGAAAAAUAAAUAUUUUUUAAAUUCAAUGAAUGUAGCCAAAUUAUUAGAACUAAAUGAGGUAUUUUAAGAAAAAGAAUAAAAAUUAAAUAAAAGGCAGAUUGUCUUGAUUGGAAAAAGGUCAAAUGACAAAAAUUAUUUACUUAUUAUCUAUAUUUAAGGGUUGAGCUAAUGUAAAAAAUAUCGGCCAACAAAAAACUAUAAAAACAAUCAUAAAUAAUGAUUUCCUCAACUUGACAAAACAUUAGUAAAGUUAUUUUAUGAUGCAUUUGGUAAUUAUACAAGAUUUAUAUACUUGGAACAAGAAAAGAACAUAAAUGCGUUCGGUACAACCCUAAAAAAUUUUAUUACAAUUUUUUCAAUAAUUAUAAAAAUGUCAAUGGAGACUUAAACAAUUCAUGUCUGAAUAAAUUGGAAUUUUGUAAGGAUUUAACUAAUCAAAAUAUUCUAAGAUAGCCUCAGAAAAUCCAAUGUAAUAAUUAGUCAAAGAUAGAUGGUUGAAAAUAGUAGUAGAGAGUCAUACUGGUUUAUAACUCACAAUAUGAACAGAUUGAUAAUAAACCUUUGGGUAUUACAAUAAACAAAUAUAUAGACCUUUUGAACUUUUUUAGCUACAAGAAGAAGAGCAAACAUUGAUUGGAAAAAUGGGCAAGGACGAAACAACUAAGAAUGAAGGCAAUUCUAAAGUUGGUGUGCUUAUUUGCAUAAACUUAUCAAACCUUCAAGCAAAUGACAUUGGAAAUUCAUGGAGCACAAGCUUAUUAGACUACUAUGAAAAAAAGACAAAUGGUGAUGCAAACAAAUUUCUCAGAGCAUCUAAUUUUUAUUAAAACAAAAUUGCAGAUGAUCUUAAAAGAUGUCUAUAAUAGAAUCUUAAAGGAAUGAGAUAUAUUCUUUCAGUGGAGUUGCCAAGCUGUCAUAACCUAGUAUUGUCUUUUGAAGAUAAUGGCAUUAAAAAAAAAAUCCAUAUGGUAAAAUUCUAAGAGCUUAUUCAAUUUUGAAUCCAAUUUUCACCAAAUGAUUUUCACAUUUUUUUGUUAAAUUAAUUCCAAACUAGAAUUAAUACUUAAAUCUAGUAAAACAUUCAAAAUCUAAUUUCUAAAUUUUCUCCUAAAAUUCUGAUUUUUAUUUUUAUUUUUUAAUGGGGACUUGGAUUGGGUCGAGAGACCCGGUCAGGAUGUGAGUCUUACCUAGACCUUAUGUUGAUUGUGUAAAGAGGAGCAUUAGAUUAUGCUGAGGUUGUUCCUCUAAAAUAACCUUAUUACUCCUUUUGUUCUCGAGAAUAAAAAAGUAGAAUUUUUUUUUUACUUCUUGUUUUUAUUGCAAAUCUAUUCCCUAACUAUUUUUAUUUUAUUUUAUUUUGAGGAAUAGAAAAAUUAAUCAACAUACACAAACAAAUUGAUGUUCUUUUUAAAUUAUGGAUAAUAAAAGAACAGAAAAAUAGAUAAAUACAAACAUAACCAAACGCGCUAUAAAUGACUGAUCGAAAUUUAAAGUGACUUAAUAAUUUUAUUGAUCAACCAUAUUUUGCAUAAAUGAACUAUUAAAAAUACAUAAUGAGUAUCCAUUUUUUGUCCAUUUGACUUUUUGGUAUAGGCCUUUUGUCCUGUAAACUUAAUUAUUUUGUUUUUCUUAAAAUAUCCUAAUAGUUUUAUAAAUAUAUCAUCAAUUUAUACCAACUAUUACUUUUAAAUAAAUUUUGGUAAAAUUACUUUCUCUCCACUUUCUUUAUUUUGUCUCUCUUUUUUUUUGUACAAAAAUAAAAGCUAAAAAAAUUCCAUCCAAAAAAAUGAGAUGAAAAUAUGCAUUUGCCCCUUAAUAGUCGCGUGCGCUACACAUGCUAACGAAAAAUAUGGAAGCUUCGUGGGGAUAACGUGUGAUGGUUGAAAGUUAUGGGCAAACAUGUACUCCCCAAAGUUCCGUGGAGUUUUGUGUAAUAUCUCACCAAAAAAAAAAAAAAAAUACCUCAAUGGUAGAUGGAUGAUCCAGCCUCCCAUCCCGUGAUUCACCAUAGUUCCUGUUUCUAUAUCCAUUUAUAUGCGCCUCGAACAAUUCAUACUUCUCCUUUAAAAAAGUAAAUAAUGAAGUUACAUCACUUUAAUCGACAUAUACCCUUUGUCGAUUCCUUUCAAAUCGGAGAUUAUGGCUAAUCGAACUUUGUUGCGAAAGGUUUUCCUGUCCCAGAAUCGUACUUUGAUUUUCUCAACCCAGAAGUCCCGCUUGAACCCAUCUAAACGUAGCUAGAUCAUAAAGAAAAUCUGAAAUUUUCAAAUCAAGGGGCGAGUCUAAGCAACUACUUUAUGGCCUAGUAUCCAACCGAACACGUCCAUUAAUUAAAUCUACUUUGAACCAAGAAAUAUGCGUUAAUGACAACAUUAGGGACAUUCUAGGGGUACCAUAAAUUUAGUAGAUUUCUGUACGGAGUCGUGUGGCAUUAGAUAUGAUAUGUCUUGAUUAAAUACUUAAGUAGUUCGGUCUUAUAGCUUGGCCAGAGACGGUAGGGAGUGUGUAGUCGGAGAGCAUCUUGGACAUGGGGCGUGAAGCGGGAGGGAGGUUGAUUUUUUUCAUUAGUUAUAGAAUACAUCAGCAUAAAGAAAAAAUUUACUGGCUAUUAUAUUCACUGUUGAUACGAGGGGUUGGUGAGAGAAUAGGUUGUUAAAGUCUUCAAAUGGCAGAAGAAUUACAUUGGUCGAGUUAUUUUCAUUUAUGCUUACUCUAAUGGUGAUUUUUUUUUAAUGGAAAUCUCAAAAUUUAGAAAACAUUUUUGGAAAAAUGAUCAUCUAUAUUGCUUAAUAAAUGAAUGCGAAAUAUUUUCAUCUCCUACAAAAAUAAUUAGGCAUGAAUCGUUAUCGAUAUUGAAGACAUUAUUCAUUGACUAAUUUAUCUAAACAAUAUAACUGAUUCUUUUUCGAAAAAAGUUUUUGAAAUAUUGAAUAUUCUGUGAAACAAUCGCAAAGUUCUCUCUCUUUUUUGAUAUUGUGAUUUAGUGGACAGAUGCCCAAUUCUAACAGCCCAACGAACUAGUGGAGGACUUACGAUGAAGCCUAUUUUUUCUUUUUUUUGGCGGGGGGGAGGGGGGGGGGGGGGCGGGCGGCGGUCAAAUGCGAUGAACAAUGCCUCAAUAAUGCCGACUAUGAUAAGAAAAUAUUGAGUGCUGCUAUUACCGCAACAAAAAAGAAGGAGUCUAAAACGAUGACACGUGUCCAAAGUGAGUCCAAACAUCACUCUCCUGCAAGCUCUCUCCUCUCCUCUCUCCUCUCUCUCGUCCAAAUGCUGUAUGCUCUCUCCUCUAUCCUCGCUCUCGCCCAAAUGCCAGACUUCCUUGCACUCUCUCUCCCUCUCUUUGCCGCCUCCUCUUUAUUCCAUUGAGCCCUCCUCCUACCGACGAAUUUCGUGCCAGCGAAGGCAACCUUUCGAGCCACCACGCCCUCAUCCGACCGAAGAACUUCGUGGUGGCAAAGGCAACCUCGAGGUGGAGCCAUGCGAUGGUUUGUCAGACGAGCCACCGUACCCAACUAAUGAACUUCGCGACGGUGGAGGCAGCUUCGAGGUGGAGCUGCACGGUGGUUCAUCGGAUGAGCCACCAUACCCUCGUCUGAUCGACGAGCCACAGUGCCCAUUCGGCGACAGCUCGCUGCCCUCUACUGGUUGUGCUUUUUCUCCCUUUGAGUCAUGACCGAACCCUCGUCCGACGAAACACCACACGGCUCCACCUCUACCUCAAAAGGUUGCCACCGCCGGCACAAAGUUCGUCGGUUGGAGGAGAGCUUGGCGGGAUACAGAGGGGGCGGCGAAGAGAGAGAGAGAGAGAGAGAGAGAGAGCGUGUAAGGGAGAGAAAAGAGAGAGAGGGUGGCAAGGGAGUUUGGCAUUUGGGCGAGAGGGAGGAGAGAGCUUGCAGGCGAGUCUCACGUUUGGCUCAUUUUGGACACGUGUCGCCAUUUCAAGUCCUUUUUAUUGUUGUGCCGGCUAUAGGCACUCAAUAUAUUCUCGAUAAUGUUAAUGAUAGAGAAUAUGCAUUAAUUGGCGAAAAGGAAAAAAUGACAUAAUAAAGUAUACAACGUCAGCACCAAAUAAUAUGACGUCACCGAACAAAAACUAACCUUGACCUCCUCCUUCUCGGAUUCGUACCCCACGCUAGCGCUCACAUCCUCGUUAUCCAUGAAAUAAGCCUUGGGACACCUCGUCUUUAAUCCAUACCUCUUGCAAAACGGCGACCACCGUCUCGCGAAAUCGUACGCCUCCCUCAUCCCGUGCAGCGUGAGCAGCGAGCUGCCGUCGUCCGAGAGGUACACGUGGAGCUUCUCCGGUGGAUAGUCGAGCGCCAUUGCCGAUAUCACCGUGUUCAUCACUGCCACGGUGGGCUCCUUAUCGGGGUCCGCUGUGCACACCAGCACGUCUAUCGACGGGAGCUCCCCAUCGCCGGGCAACCUCUCGGGAAAGGCGGUCCGCGAUACAGGCCGCCAUCGGAAGGCCUGGUAGAGAAGCCACGUGAGGGACAGCGUUAGCUCGCCCAGGAAAAUAAUGAGCCAAGCCAAAGUGGUGGGUUGGCCCGGUGAGCUAGCUUCUUCGGCGAAGAAAAAGGAAGCUCUAUAGUGUAUAAGGAUAAGUAGAGCUGCUCCAUGGAUGAGCAUGUGUGCGCGGUUGACGGCGAUCAAUUUCGGGUCGACAUGGCAAAGGUUUAGGGGGUGCGAACGAUGCUCCAUAGUUCUUUCCUUCUCUGUCCUUGAGGCGACGCCACUAGCCUUUCCGAUCGAUCCUCGUCGACGGUGGUCAAUAGAGGAGGAGGAGGAGGAGGAGGAGGAGAGAGAGAGGAAGAAGAGGCCAGCUUUAUGUGGAGAGAAAGAAGAGCAAGUAGGGAACUAGAUACGAUAAAUGUUUUGUGGUAUGGGAACGUCACGAUCCCUUUCUAACUUGGUCCGGAUUAUAUAGUAUGUACUCCAUAUCAUGCUAUAUCUCCUUAUGUGAAGAUGGGCAUCUCUUAAAUGGACUCGAGAGCCCUAGCUACCGUUCAUCGAUAGGCUAAGCCUCCAUUAUGUCGUCUUCCGUAAUCGAGAGGUUUCGCAGCACUCUUGUUUGGCCGGCGGAUGGGCGAUCGCCCUCAAAGAAAGGUUAGUGCGCUUUCCCUUCUUUCUCAUCGUCCUUUUUUGGCUAGUAGUGGGGCGGUCUUCGAAUCAGUUGUCACUCACCUCGACAUGUCCCCGAUCUCGACAAGGACGGUGGAGGGCUCAAUGAUACAGCCACCGUCUAUCUAUUUAUGAAUGAUAGUCCUUCGUUUAAUUUUUUAAAUAUUUAUUUUGUAAUUUGGUCUUUCCUCUUCCGUUGAUUCGUCACCAAAAUCGUCGAGCAAAUGCCUUAGUUGUGAUGUACUUCUUUUUUUUGGUCAGAUAAUUGUGUCGUCCUUUAAUAGUGAUGGGUUUUUAUGUUUUGAUGGGCUUAUUUAAGCCUGUCUUCCCAUGUUGGGCCAAAACGCGGCCCGUAAGUGAAUGGCCCAUGGAAGAGUGUAGUUACUAUAAAAUAAAAAAUAAAAAGGGAAAAUCUUGGCAGUUAAUACAUCUACUCAGUUGGUUAUCAGAUAAGCAACGUCUUUGAUAAGAGAGAAUACGUUUUCUCAAUUUAAUGCUCUCUUAGUUUUCCCAAGUACAGUAUGCUCAUUUGAAGAACAGUAUCAGAAGUCCUCAUCAAACUACGACAAUGGUGUUUAAUCUGUGGAAGAUAAGGUAUGUUCGACUCUGUAAUGUACCUUAUAUCGGUGUAACAUGUUUUCUGGGCACGCUUUCCACGUUUGUUUUCCGGCAUUCAAUUGAGUAUCAGAUCGUUAUUUUUUGGGAAUCUGUUUCCCUACAUUGGUAUCAGAGUGAUGUUGUUUAUGUUUCCCGAUUACUGUUCAUGUUUUUUUUUUUUAAUGACCCAGGGAAGCCCCGUACAAUGCGGGCGGCUGGAGUAAACUCUGGGGCCCCAUGGGAGGACCCACCACCCCCGUGGAACGGGUAAGACGCCAAGCGUCUCCGUGGCGAGUCAAACCCUCACCCUCCGAGAAGGGGUCAGUGGGCCCCCCAUGAUGAGGAAGACUUGCCAGCGGAGCCACUAUGACCAAUGGUCCGAUUACUGUUCAUGUUUAUAAAUUGUUUUUUGUUGAAAUUUCGUGAAACGCUGCAGUUGGUCGCUCGGGGAUGGAAAACCCGACACCGCGUACUGUUCACCCCCUUUAUGAUUUUCAGUAAAUCGAAUCUCAUUUUUGAUACCGUAAGGUCGUAGCUCUCGUUGAUACGAGAAAAUCGACUGGAGGUUCACUGCUGGGGGCCAUCAGACGCACCGCCACACACUGCUAGAAUGUCCGGCGUCAUCGGUGCGUGCAACACAUGCGCUGAGGCAGUUCCCAAGUGCGUGCAACGCACGCACAAGCGGGCAAACUGCAGGAGCGUGCAAGGCAUGCGUGCGGCAACCGUUGGCGCAUGCGCACAUCGCCAGCUGAUGUCAUCGUGACGUCAGCCAGCAGUUGCUCACGCAUGUGCCGAUGACGUCACGAUGACGUCACCUAGCAAGGUCGGUCGGUUCGACCCGACCCGACCCAACUCGUCUGACUCGACCUAUUUGCGUUGACCCGUUGAUUAUUGACCGUUGACAAAAAAAAAAGGAUGUGUUUAUUUUUUAAUUAAGUUGCUUUGAUUAUGAGUAAUCAUUUUUUGUUUUGCAUUUGUUGUAGCAAGAAUGCCUCCCCUUCAGGUGCGCACACCUGUUCGUGCAAAUACAGCAAGUCAAAAAGAAAGGCUUUCAAGGUUGAUAGCUGAGUUGACUGAUUAUCGAUGGGAGAAUAGCAAUUUAAUUGAACAUGUUCUUAAGGUCAACAAGAAGAUACAAGAAGUCAUUUGGAAGGGUUAUCCCAUGCCAACUUUUGAGAUGGUGUGAUUCUUCAUGAACACUCUUCCACUAUAAUGACAAUGAGUGUUGAAUCGCUUAUGGGAGGUCAACAGAGUUCCUAAGUAUAAGAGGCUUGUAAUAGCUUUUAUAGAUGAAUAUUAUCAAAUUGAAGCCACAGAAACUGCGAUCCAAGGAAUGACUUCAAUCCGGCGGGGGAUGAAUGUGCUAAGGAGAAAUCCUAAGGGAUAUCCGUAUGUUUUUCCAUGGUUGCUGAAUGUGCCUAAAGAUUUUACAGAUGAUAAUUUGGAGAAAUUAAAAGAUUAUUUUCAUGUUCAUAGGUUGACUUGGCGUUAGCUGUUUCUAGUGGUUUCUAUUUAGUAUGUUUUAAUGGAUAUCUUAUGUAAAUACUUUCUACCUAGUUGAUGUCGUUGUAGCAACUAAUGUAUUAGUUACAUUAUGUGGAAAUAUUAUUAUUCUAUCAUUUAUGGAUGUCUAAUAUCAUUUGCUUCUGUUUUUAUUAACUGUUGUGGGUAGUUCAUAGAAGUUUCAGUAACUUCAAAGAACUUAUUAUGCAUAGAAGAUUAUAUUAAUGAUAAUUUCAAGUUAGGAUUUUUGAAUGAUUAUCGGAAAUUUAGUGACAUUUUGAUUCUGAAACCUUAUUUGAAUUAUUCAUUAAUAUGAUAAGUCUGUGCAAAAUGAAUGCAUGCGAGUAGCAUGGAGAAUGAUGUCAUGCGAGAGUUCAGGCGUUUUGAGAAUGCCAAGAAAAUAUGAGAAGCAUUGGCAGCAAGAUUUGGUCAUGCAUUGGUGACCAAACUGAGGCGGCUCACUAUAAGAUUUGACUCUUACAAGAAUCCUCAUGGUCAGACCAUGAAACAACACUUGAGAAAUAUCUCAAACAUGAUUAAUGAGCUGAAAGAUGAUGGCCAUGUCGUAACUGAUGAGUAGUAAGUGCAAGCAGUGAUUCGUUCUUUGCCUCAGGGUUGGGAGCAUAUGAAGGUGCACCUAACCCACAAUGAGAACAUCAAAAUCUUUGAGGAUGCAGUGCGCCAUCUUAAGCUAGAAGAAGACCGCAACCUGACGAUUAAGUUAGAAACCGACAUUUAUUAUGUUGGUUUUAGCUCACAUAGAGCUUCGAGCUCGAAGCGCAAACGUCCUGAUUGGUUCAAAAGGUGGAAAGCUAAGGGAGCAAGUUCUUCAAGGAAGAAACCAAAAGUUAACCAACAUGAAAGAGGAAAUCGUCCUUGAAUGAAUAAGCUGUCAAGGGUGAAGUGUUACAAUUGUGAUAAAAUGGUCACUAUGCUCGUAACUAUCGCAAGCCAAAGAAGGCACACACCCAUUGUGCUUUUGGGAACUUUGCUUAUGUGUCAAGUUCAGUAUUCUUAACGAAACUAAUCAUUUGUGAACUAUAGAUUUAGGAGCAACAGGCCAUGUAGCGAAGGAUAGAGAAUCCUUCGUGGAAUUUCGACAAGUACCGAUUGGAACUAAGUGGAUCUAUGUAAGAAAUAACUCCAAAGCCAAAGUAAAAAGGAUUGGCACCUGCCAAUUGAACAUGCGUGGUGGAUGUACUUUGUUUUUACAUGAUGUUGUCUAUGCUCCAGAGAUUUUUCAGAAUUUAGUGUCUAUUUUAGUGUUGGUAAAGCUUGGUUUUAGUUUUGAACUUCCAUAAUAAUGGUGUGGAUUUGUAUUUGAAUAGAAAAAUAUGGUUGUGGUUAUUUUCUAGAUGGUUUUAUUAUAUUGAAUGUUGACUGUGGUGAUGUCAAUGUUUGUUAUUCCAUUUUCACUUCUUCUAUUUCAUACAAUAAUGAUGUGAAUGAGUGAUAUGCUAGACUUGGCCAUAUUGGCCAAUAGCAUAUGAAUAGGCUAGCCAAAGAGGGCUUGUUAGGCAAUAUUGAAAAAAUUGAUUUGCUCAUAUGUGAAUAUUGCCUAGUGGGGAAAACAAUAAGGAGACCAUUUGGAAAAGGUAAAAGAGCUGAAUUUCCUUUGCGAUUAAUCUAUUCUGACAUAUGUGGUCCAAUGAAUGUGAGAUGAAGGUAUGUGAUUGUUUAUUUCAUCACAUUUAUAGAUGAUUACACUCGACUCGGACAUGUCUAUUUGAUUUCUCAUAAAUCUAAAGCAUUGAGUUGUUUCAAAAAUUUUAUGAGCUUGGUAGAAAAUCAAUUAGAUAAGAAAAUAGAAGUAUUGAGAUUUGAUCGAGGUCGAGAAUAUUUAUCUGAUGAGUUUAGAGAUUUAUGUGAUGAAAAAUGAAUAGAAAAACAGCUGUCUAUUUCAUACAUUUCUCAACAAAAUGGUGUUGUGGAAAGAAGAAACAAAACCCUAUUGGAAAUGGUUAGGUCCAUGAUGACGCAUACUAACUUACCUAUCAAUUUUUGGAGUGAUGCUUUAUUAACUACUGCCUAUAUACUUAACAGUGUGCAUUCCAAAUCAGUUACUUCAACUCCAUAUGAGUUAUUGAUAGAUAGAAAAUCGGACUUAAGUUUUCUCAAUGGAGAAUUAGAGGAAGAAUUAUAUAUGGAAUAACCUGUUGGUUUCAUUAUAAAAGGCCAUGAAUAAAAGGUAUGUCGACUUAUGAGAUUGAUAUAUGGGCUUAAGCAGUUGUCGAGACAAUGGUAUAUACAUUUUCAUAAUGCCAUAAUUGCAUAUUAUUUUUCGAUAAUUGAUUAGGAUCAUUAUGUAUAUCAAAAGAUCCAAAGAUCAUUUUGUGAUCAUAUCAUUAUAUGUUGAUGAUAUACUAAUUGCCGGAAGCAAUAUGAAGUUUGUAAAUACUGUCAAGAGUUGGUUAUCUUCCAAUUUUGAGAUGAAAGACAUGGGUAAGGCUGCAUACAUUCUUAGAGUUAAGAUUUCAAGAAAUCGUUCAAGAGAUUAUUAUCUCUUUCGCAAGAAACAUACAUAAAUAAGGUUAUUGAACAAUUUUAUAUGCAAGAUUGUAAACUCAUAGAUACUCCUAUUGCAAAAUGUGAAUGAUUGAGCCAUAGAAUGUGUCCAAAGACUCCACAAAAGAAGGAACAAAUGCAACAUGUUCCUUAUGCUAGUGCUAUUAAAAGCUUAAUGUAUGCUAUAAUGUGUACAAAACCUGACAUAUAUUUUGCAAUUAGAAUGGUGAGUAGAUACCAAUCCAAUACAGGUCAAGCACAUUAGAAAGCCAUUAAAAGAAUACUGAAGUAUUUAAAAGGAACUGCUGAUUAUAUGUUGAGUUACCAAGGAAAUGAUUUGCGACUUGAAGACUAUUUAGAUGUUGAUAAGGGAGGAUUUAGAUGAAAGGAAAUCUACCAUUGGAUUUGUUUUCUUACUGAAUAAUGACGCAAUAUCUUGGAGCAGUAAGAAACACACGUAUAUAACCAUGUUCACGAUGGAAGUUGAGUUCGUGGCAUUAUCAGCAGCAAUACAAGAAGGUGUUUGGCUUAAGAGAUUUUUUUGGAUCAUUUAGGUAUUAUUGAGAAUAUUGCAAACUCAUUGUUGGUUAACUGUAAUAGUCAAGUAGCGAUAGCGUACACUAAAGAUCCAAAAUAUUAUGAUAAGACUAAACAUAUAUAUACCAAGUAUAAUUUUGUCAAAGAUAUGGUUGCACGAAAAGAUAUGAACUUAUAGCACAUAUUUACGCAUAGAAUGGUAGCAAAUCCUAUGACGAAACCAAUACCUAAAUCUGUGUUCUAUGGACAUGUGAAAUCUCUAGGAUUACGUAGAGGCUGAUGUACUGAAUAUUGUAAUUUCCCUAAAGUGUUCACACGAGUAAUCACCUCUAUUUACUACGUGAUAAAUAGAAAUGAGACAAUUUUUAAGCUUAUUAUCUAGGUGAUAAUCGAGAGCUCAAGCUUAAAAUUUAUAUGUCAUCUUAACUGAGUGUUAAGAUGAUGACAUAAUAUUUAAUAUGUCCGAAAGUAAAAUAACCCACAUAUUUUACUUUAUCUGUCUAUAAUGUCAAAUGUGAGUUAUGAUGAAUUAUGUGAAUGAGUAGAUAUGUGAACUCGAGUUAGACAUUAGGUAUGUUUGAAUUAUCAUCUGUACGGUAUUGAAGGUGUAGACAUAUGCUCCAUGGGAAAUGAGUUAAUAUCGUAAUACGUAUUUCAUACAACGUAUGCAUGAGACGAUCAACAAUAGUGGCAAAAGUUUUUAUCUCAACUUUUAUACCGUGUGAGACUCUUAAGGAAAAGAGUUCUUCAAUUAAGUACCCUUAUGACUUUUACUUAUUCUCAAUAUUUCUAUUCAGUGUUUGUUAUCUUAGAAUAUUGCCAACGAUCAUGAAUUGAUUCGAUCUAAUUGGACAUUUCUAGAAAAGUAAGUUGAAUUGAAAUUGAGAGUUUCAAGGAAAGAGGAAAAUCGAAUUUGGAGAAUCACAUUCUAGUUUUGUAUUCACUGGUCAACCAAUUAUAAUUGUUUUUAGGAUAACCAUAAUUGUGAAUACAAUAUAUCAUUGUUUAAAAAGAUAUUAAGAGAGAUAUAAAUGUGAUUGAUCGAUUUAGGGUACUGCAUAUUAAAUCUACUCAAAAUUGUGAUGCUUAUUAUGAGCUGCUAUAUAUUUCUAAUAGAUGUAUGGCAAUGAGCUCUCAAAGUAUGCUGGUCGCACAGAUUAUUCACCGGUAUGAAUGUUGUAAAAAGGUAAAAAAAAAAGAGAGAUCUGUUUGGCCCACCAUGUGCGAGUGGGAGAUGAUGGGUUUUUAUGUUUUGAUGGGCUUAUUUAAGCCCAUCCACCCAUGUUGGGCCAAAACCCGGCCCAUAAGUGAAGGGCCCGUAGAGGAGUGCAAUUACUGUAAAAUAAAAAAUAAAAAGGGAAAAUCUUGGCAGUUAAUAUAUGUGAUCAGUUGGUUAUCAGAUAAGCAGCGUCUUUGAAAAGAGAGAAUACAUUUUCUCAGUUUAACGCUCUCUUAGUUUUCCUAAGUACAAUACGCUCUUUUGAAGAACAAUAUCAGAAUUUCUCAUCAAACUGCGACAACGGUGUUUAAUCUGUGAAAAACAAGGUAUGUUCGACUAUGUAAUAUACUUUAUGAUUGGUGUAACAUGUUUUUUGGGGACCCUUUCUGCAUUUGUUUCUCGGCAUUCGAUUGAGUAUCAGCUCAUUAUUUUUUGGGAAUCCGUUUCCCUACAAAUAGGAGCAAGUGUGUCCUGAGAAAGUGAGGUGGGAAGAGCGUGAGCAUGUAUUGUCAAUUUUUUGGCAGAUGGGAGCCGUGCGUUUCAUUUAUGAAAUGGUAUUAGAAUUAUAUGUGUAUGUAAAGGAGUAUGGUCACGAACCUAUAUUUUCGAAAUAAUUUCAUAAUAUACAUGCGAAGCGACUAUAACAUUUUACUUGAUAAAAUUUAAUCUCUCUCUCACGCACGCGUGUGAACUUUCAUGUGUAACAUGGACAGCGCUAGCAUGACCACGCUGUCACUUUCUAUGAGUAAAGGUGCAGUUUGGGCUUUUCAUUUUUGCAUAAUGGGGCAACCGGAUGUAAAUUUGCUUUGGAAAAUGAUCUUUUUUGCACGUGCUGGUAUUUUAAGAAACAAAUCUAAUGAUAUUCGAGAAAGAGAAAUUCAUGAAGAGUUGACUACCGAUUUUAGAUGGUGGAUAUUCAUCCAAAAUUUUAGAAGAUGAUAUCAUGUAGUCAAGUGUCGGAAAAUCACAUACUAUAAAUAAAAAUAUUCACAUUUUACAAAGGUUGCACUUAUAACAUAAAUUAGAAAUUUUUCAUAUACUAUCAUAAUUUUAAUAUUAAAAUAUUCUUUGUUGCACUUGGUUAUAAUAAAACUUCAUCAAACGUCAUUGCAAAAUACUUGAAAAUUUUGAAAAUAUUAAAACAUCAUAUAUUAACAUGUGUAAUUGGUCCGUUUAUGAAAUCUAGUGGUGGUGGUGGAGGCGGCAAUAGUAGUGGUAAUAGCAGCAACAAUAGUAAUAUUGUCCGUUUAGGAAAUUUAGUAGCAGUAACACUUCUUGUGGCUAAUAACUCCAUUACUCAUGCAAAAAGUGACGGACCAUUAUGUGGGCAUUACCCAUUAUACAUAGACCUGUAUUAGCAUCUACUUCUCCCUUGAAAAGCCAUUGAACUUGAAUUGUUGAAGCAAAUAGUUGAGUUGAGUUACUCUGUAGUAACAGAGAAAUUGUCUAAUGAAUCCCAAAUUCAUUGUUAGAUAUUAAUUCUGUUUUGAACUUUUUAAUCGUGUCAAUUUAGCCCUAAACAUUUGCACAAAAUCCCUAUGUAAUCAUCUCAGCUAAUUUUCACUGGAAAUUAUUGGUGUGACACUCCAAUGAAUUUACAAGUGCAUUGAACACUCAACUAAAGCUGCUCUAGCCUGCAGCUUCCUCAAAGUAGAAGUAGCUAUACAACAUGACAUGUAUAAACUCGGUAAUCAAUCAUUUCAAACGACGCGAAGAAUAUACAUGUCUCUUCUAAAGGAGGCAUCAAAGACUUCACUUGUAACUCUUCCCCAACUCCGCAUUCUCUACUUCAUCACUUUAAAGUUUGAACUAUUUAAUAUAAAGUUCAUGGAUUUUCAAACCCAUCAAGAUUCUUAGAAAAAGAACCACUAAACACUACUAAUCUCAUUAACUUAUUGUCUUAAUAUGGAAACAAAAGCAAGUUUCCCACUUUUACUCUUCCCCUCUUCCCCAAAUAGACAACCUCUAAUUAGGUUUGUGGUCCUAAAGAAUCAUGAAAGUAGGUAAAUCAUUUUUGAUCGAAUCCAUUCACAUUCAUUAAGGACUUUCUGUCAUUUUCUUUGAUUUGUUCUUCUUAUCAAGGAUCUUAAUAUGGAUAUUUCUAAGAUUUUGACCACCGAGCGUGGCCAGCAGCCAAGUGUAAUGGGUGAUGUGUACAAGGCUCAAAAGCAAACUCGCCGCUGUAUAAUUGAUGGACAGUUUUAGCGACUCAAAUUGUACUCAGAUUUCAUGAAUUGAGAUCUGAACUAAGAAUGAGUGUUUGGAUUUGGCUCAUACCCGUGUGAUCAUGACCCUUUGUCUCAGCCUUUGCAGCAUGUGUGUUGCCCAGGAGGUAAGAGGCAUGAAGCCUUGACCUCAUCCUCACCUUCCUUUGGCAUGUCCCCCAAAGCGUUUAGGAUUCCAAACUUAACAGGGACAUUAGGGUUGCACUCAUUUUGGGAUUUAGAACAACACCUUGUGGCACGAGCUAACGACCAUCAUAUGCACCACUUGUAUCGUCCGCAUUCCCAAAGGCAUGCCCCUCUAGCAUUGCAAAUAACUUCUGUAAUUUUGGAAGCAAAAAUAUGAGAAACAAAGGAUUAGCGAGGCAUACCCCCUGGCAUUGCAAAUAACUUCUGUAAUUUUGGACGCAAAAUACAAGAAACAAAGGUUUAGCAUUUCUUGAGGAUCAAUCACGAUUGAGAAGCCAUUUCUCAUGGGCAUGUCCUUAUACAAAGCCCCUUCUGAUGGACAAGGAUGAAAGUAGUUACUUGCUAUUAGAAAAAGAGAUAUCUGAAAGUGGUAUACACAAGUGAAAGAUCAUGAAGCAAUCUCCACUAAGCUGACCUAUCUUGCUGCUUCAAUUGGGUUUGUCAAUGAUUGAUUGGAGAUGAAUUUAGCAAUAAUAAGUAUGCCAAGGGUAGUGCUCAAAUCGGGUAGGGCCUCGAUUCACUAGAGCAGUCUGUGAUGCCUAAGUUAGUACGUGUAUCUAAGGGGAGAGAGAUAGAGGCCAUAUGCCAGGAUUUUAUAAUUAAGAAUUUGUUUGUUUCAUCAAAAAUUUCUUGAUAAAAAGUAAUAUUUACCAUGAAAAUCAUUAUUAAGGAAAACGUUAAAUUUUCAUUUGUUUAGUAGAUUAAGAAAAGUGAUUUCCUUCUUGCCAAAAAGAAGAAGUAAUUUUCUUUCAAUCUAAACUUCUUGUUUUCAGUCCAUGGAAAACGUUUCCCAUAACUUAAUUAGUUUUCCAUCAUUCAAAUAUCGGAAUGUAAGAAAACAAUUUCCUACAAACGGUCUUCUUUCAAAUAAAUGGAUCCUGGUAUUAUGGAAGAGGUAGACUAGGAGCUUUACCUAGUGGGCCAUAAGAAUUGGACCUAAGCAUCCCAAUCCAAUUGUAGUAAGCCAAUAUAAGGAGGCCCAUUUACAAAUAAGUGUUUGGAUCAUGUAUUGAACAUAGCAAUUGGGCCAUGCAAGAGUGGAUGGGCUUUGCUUAUUUAAUAUUCUGGUUUGCGUGCUACGGCAGGGUCCAAUGGUCACAUUUGCAAUUGCAUGGGCUUUUGCUUUUUUGAUAUUCCGGUUUGCACGUUUCACAAAUCAAGGAAAAUUUCAAUUAAGAGCCUAAAGUAGAACCGUUUUCUCAAGAAAGGACCCAAAAUGGAUAUUGUCUCAAACAAGAACCUAAAGUGACUAACUUAAUUUCAAAUAAGGGCCUCAACUUAAAAGCCAACCAAAUCUUAUUUGCAUAUAGGGGUAUUUUCGUCUAAAUUUUUUUUUCCUUCUUUUUUUUUUAAAUUUAUUUUCUCAUUCUCUUUCUUUUAUUCAUCAUCAUCAUCGUGCCUUCGCCUUUUUCACUCUUUAGAUCGCUUUCUCCAAAGUCCAUCUCUAGCUUCCUUACCGAAUUAGCCAUCAAUGCCCUCAACCUCAUUUGUAAUUGCCCUCAACAGCAAUUCCAAUACAUUUGUUGAAAGAUGGAGGUCAAUCCAAGCCCUAGAUCAAGCACGAGUGGACCAAGAUGUGACGCUUAGGUCGAUUCGAUCCCCACAUCUUGCUGUCGUGGUAAACCACGAAGCAUGAUAAGUUGUAAGCCAUUAGCUUGCUGCCCUUGUUGUCGUCGAUGCUUGAAUUCAAAUCGGUGUUCACGCAGGCUAUGAUUGAUCUUAGCGAGGAGAAGCUAGAUUGAAGUUCCUAAGCCAAAUUUAUUAAAGGUUUUUGAGGAAUCUCUGUGAUACUCAUGUGCAUUGAUUUGUUUAGUGAAAUACGUGGUUUUGGAAAUUCCUGAGCGAUUUUGUACUUUUUUCAUUUUGUUAUUCUCUCUCAAAUCUGUGUAGAUAAUAUUUCAGAGUUAGAGAGGCAAAUUUGUUUGAACAUGUGUAGACCAGAGUCAUUUGUUUUUUAGAUUAAGUGAUGUCUGAUUCGAAUUGCCACCAAAGAUGAGUAUCUCCAAUCAUGGGUUAGAAUGAUUCAGCAGCCUUUGAAAAUAACCCGCAUGCACGACACAAUAGGACCCUCUCAAGAAGCCAUAUAUUCCACCUCAAUGCAAGCUGUGUCUAUGAAUGUUAUGAAUAAUCCAACCCGGACCCAAUAAAACAUUCCCAAGAAGCUAUGAGUGAAAGUUAUCGUGGCAUCGACAAUUUCAUUGGUGGGGAGAGCAUGAAACUGUUACUUUAAUUGCCAUAAUAAGUUUUUAAGAAAAUUGAAUAAAAACAAAACCCACUGAUGAUAUUUCUUGAUUCUCAAGUCCAUUAUUGUCAUCGGAGAAAGUGAGUGGUGGCGAAUAACUUAAAAACCAGCUUAUGCCAAAAUCAAUGAGUUCUUGGGUGAGGAUGCAAAAUUGCAUAAUGUAGAGCAUGCGCUUUGAAGUUUGCUAAUGGGGAGGCUGCAAAACUGAAGCACACAAUUUGCAGUUUUCCAAAACUGCAUAACUUCUUAAAUAUCUUUUCGUUUUCUUCUUUUCCUAAACUGUUUAAAUUGUUUUACACUUGUGCAAGCUCGUGUGUGAGGAGUCUGAUGCAUUUGUUAAGAAGGAGGUGAGCAAGAUGAAAAAAGAAAGAAAAAAAAAGAAAAAGGAAAAAAAAAGUCUUUAGACGAAAAUACCCCUAGCUGCAAAUAAAAUUUGAUUGGCUUUCAAGUUGAAACCCUUAUUCGAGACUAAAUUGGUUACUUCUGUCCCUUAUUUGAUACAAUGUCCACUUUAGGCCCUUUUUUGAGAAAGCAGUUCCACUUCAGGCCCUUAAUUGAAAUUUUCCCCACAAAUCACAACCUGCAAUAGUUACAUAUAGACUGAUCUCUCCUACAUUAAAUGGAGUAGGCUUGAAAGAUCUAACUUUAUGCAUGUUUUGGACCUCUUAUACCUUAAUUUUGUGCAAAUCAAAUAAAUAUUUUAUCAUCGUCACCUAUACAUAAACUUUUUAAAGUCCUUAAUGUGAUUUUUUUUUUUUUUAUCUCUUUUGAGCUUCACAAUUGUUGUUUCAAAUGCUUAUUACAUUUAGUUGUACCAAGAACGAUAAUAUACAUGUGAAUUGGAACUUUCUUGGGAUGAGAAUGUAUAUAACUACCGAUAAUUCGAAAUUAGUGAAUGGAAACGUGCAAAACCACUAGCAUUUUGAAUUACUAAAGCAUCCUCUUUUGGAUCUUUUCCUUUGCUAGUCUUGAAUCCAAAUCAUGGGUGUUAAUAAAUAAACAUAGACAGAUUUCAUCAACAAAACUAAUAAACUAAAUAAAAUAGAGAAAGAGAUACUAGGUAACAAGAAUCAUAGCUGAAAUCAUAUAACUUUUAAAAUUGGGCAUCCUCUUCUGAUGGUUGCUCGAUGAUUCAAGCUUUUUAUUUUCAAUUCAUGCAGAAUAUUUUCAGUCGAUUGAGUAGUUUUCCAUCAUCAAAACGCUGAAAAGUCCAAAAAUGAUUUUUCAAAAAUGGUUUUUUAUCAAACAAGCUGACCUUGAGGAUCUUACACGUACCUUUAGUAGGAACAAUUCAUCUUCAUCAUUGAGAUACGGAUUUUGAUUUAGCAACUGGAAGGUAAAGAAAAGACAAAAAAGAAGAGUAUAAACUCUUGACUAUAAAAAGAAGAAAUAAAUGGGAGAUGGUUAAAUUGCUUCUGUCCUUUUCCAUCAUCAAAGUACAAGCUUGUUGCUCAUUACAUCCUUAAAUAUUGCUAAAAAGAGCUAGGUUAACUAAUUUUUGUCACUUCAGUGAAUCUUACAUAGUGUAAAGUUGAAUUCCGUCGGUUUCUAAUUAGAACCAAUGAUAAAGUACCAAGUGUGUUGGAUUCCGAUGUAAUUGGGUAUUUGGAAGUGUCUCAUGUUGCCGAAUAUAGCAUUAGGAAUCACUAUGACAAAAGAGAAUAGAAUCAAAAUCAAUCAUGAUAAAGAUCGAAAGUAUACGCGCUUCUGACAUCAGGAGAAUAUUUGGAUCAAAGGGCUCCUUGCUUUUGAAUGAAGAAUUGAUAGAUAAAGCAUUUUGAAUAAGAGUUACUUCUUCUUUUUUACUAUACUUGUAAAUUUGCACACGUACUGCAUGUGCGCAAGAAAUCGAGGUCUGAAAAAUUGAGCAAAUUCACUUUAUUAUGAAAUGUUAAAAUUGCUAAAUAAUGGGAAACGGAUUAUUAAUAAUGAUACACAAUUCAAUUGUGUAUAUAUUUGUGGACUAAAGAAUUUCAAGAUUGAAAUCUUUUUAAGAAAGUUGUUUAGGAUUGAAAAUAUGUAUAUUUUUAUGUUAAUGCAUGUGAAGAUAUAAAAUAUAAUCGUAAGUUUAUGCAUUCGUGCAUAGACACAAUAUUUAUAAAAUAAAUAUCUAAUGAUUUUUGGGGAAAGAGAAGAACCGAUUGAGAUCAAUAUUUACAGCCCGUAAGCUUUAGAAAUUGGAAGAUGAAAAUUAUCUUUUUAAUUUGUGUUUAGCUUCUCAAGAACCCAUUUUGAAUAUUGAUAAUAGCUGAAGAAUAUGUUCCAUGGUAUUUCCCAUUUUAGAAUGCCAAAAAGUGAAAUUGGUUUUUAGAAGCACUUAUUUUAAUAUGCUUACGAGGUUCCAAUGCUUCCCACCACGAACUGCUUUCAAGCCUGGUUGCGAUAAUCUAAUUUAAGUGAGGUUGUUAUCGAUUAUUUUCAUCUACGAAAAUAUAAUAUAACACAUUGUAUUAAUCACAUAAUGGAAGCAUGCCAUAUUUACUGUGACAUCCCGAUUUUUCAAUUCUAUUUUCAAUAAAUUGAGACAAGCAUUUCGUUGGCACGCAUAUAGUUUUUUUCCUUGAGUCGGCCACGCAUGUGAAAACUAGUCUAUCGGGUGAAGCCGUUAAGAAAUUCUAAUGCAUCAGACUCGAGAAUUUGACUAGGAAGCGAUCUUUCGACCGAGCUAAUCUACAAGGGUCAUUACGGCACAAUUAAAAAUCGAUUAGAGAUCGGAAAUAGGUCGACUGGACAGAGGCAUGUAAUCGGGUGUGGGUGAUUACACCAGAUUGCACAAUUCUUGUCGAUCGGCACUGGACCGACUUUUUUAUCGAUUGGGUACCCUGUGUUCGUAUUUGAAACCUUGAGAUUACCCCGACAACCGAAAGUCGCCAAUGUUUCAAAGAUGUACGUUGUGGCUUGAGAUGAUCAACCACAUGUCAAAUGCAUGAAAAUUUUUAAAGGCUACCCGGUAGGUUAGACCGCGCUGGUAUCAUGCCAAAGUGAAAUUAACCGUGGAAUUGAGAUCGAAUUCAGAAAUUGGAAAUCUGGGUGUGUCACAAAUCAUUUCAGGAUCAUUGAAUCAUCUUUGGAAGAUUUUUCAUGCAAUCAGAGUUUUUCAGCAAUUAAAUCAGAGAAUGGCUAAUUUGGCUCGAGAAAUUAGUAGGCUCGUCUUUGGUCGCGCUUUUGGGACUUAAGUCGGUUCUAUGGACAAGUGAAGAUGUGAAUUAGAGUGUGGUGGCAUUGGAUUAAUUUUAUGGACUUCAAUUUGAUUCAAUUGGGAGAGAAUUGAUUGGAAUUGAAGGAAUUGAUGUACAAAGUUUUAUGCCCCGGCGGAAAAUGGAAUUGCAACCAUUGGAAUAAGGUUGUGGGAGAUAGUGGAGUGUGAUGUCAUCCUAGGUCAUGGUGGGCCAUUUUUGUUGGAUAAAAGAAAGAGAAAAAGAAAAUAAAAAGGGCCCCCCUCCUUCUCUCUCCUCCCUCUCUUCUUCCUCUCUCCCGUGCGACCACUCUCCAUCUCCAUUUUCUUCUCCAGCUUCGAACCAAGCAACCGGAAGCCAGCAGCCAUUGCAGCUGCAGCUGGAGCCGUCGCCGCCUUCGCCCUUCCGCUCGUCGUCGCAGCCGCGCCUCGCCGCUCGGACCUCGGCCUCCCUCUCUCCUCUCUUCUCCAUCUCCGGUUUCUACUCCAAGACCAGCAGAUCUGAGCACGCCGAGGAUGGCUGCAGCUCAGCCGGACCGCCGUUCGCCGCUCGCCCGACCAGCUCGCCCGUCGCCGAAGCUCGUUGCUGUCGCCAUUCGUCCACAUGCACGUUGUCUUGUGCGCGAGCUACUCCGCCCUCCUAUCUCUGCUUCGUGUUUAGCGCCAGCAGCCAUCGUCNNNNNNNNNNNNNNNNNNNNNNNNNNNNNNNNNNNNNNNNNNNNNNNNNNNNNNNNNNNNNNNNNNNNNNNNNNNNNNNNNNNNNNNNNNNNNNNNNNNNGCCGCCAUUGACCUCCCCACCGCCCAUCAAGCCCUCGCCGGUUUCUCGCCCAUUCGACGCGGAUCCGCCCUUCUCGGCCCCAAAUCAACAGCUGGAAAAUGGGUAUGGCAGCCCAUGUUUGGCCCAUUUUGGCGUCUUCCUGAGCCCGGAUGCUCGGCCCGCCUUGAGGAAAGUCGAUCCUCGCAUCGUCCCUGUCGUUUUGGUCCGCUCGGUUCGUUAAUCCGGUGAGUUUAGCUCACUAAACCUUGAUUAGAGGGUUAAUGAUGUUUUAGGGGUGCUUAUAUGUUAAGUGUUAUUAGGUGGUUAGUUUAAUUUAUUUAAGUGUAGAUUAUAUUAAGGUGUUUGAUUAACUUAAAUUGUGUUUAAUUUAAGGUUAAGUGAGUGGUUAUAUUAAUAUAAGCAUUGAUGUGACAUAAAGGAAUUUACUUUUGAGUUAUUUAAAUAUCCCGAAAUUAUUAAAUAAUUUAAUAAUAUAUUAUUAUUCGAAAUUAUUAAAAUAUUAUUAUUUAAUUAUUUUCGGAAGAAAUUUAAUUAUUUAUUAAAUUCCGAAAAUUUUGUCAGCACCUUAAAUUCUCAAAAUUUCGUGCCGAUCGCUGCUAUGUAGUCAGAUUUUGAAAUUGAUGAUUGGAUAUUAUAAAUUGAGUGUUGAUUGUGAUAAAUAGAGAUUUUAUUCAUAAAAACCCAAGUGUCGGGUUUGGCAUUGAAAUUGGAUUUUUAAUGGUUAAUAUCGUAAUUGGAUUAUGUGAGUGAAAUGUAAAGUAUCUAGGGAUCGGUAUCGAAUUAUCGUGUGCUGGUUGAAAGGCUCGGAUCGCAGUAGUGGCUAGGCCAACUGGACCCUUAUUUUGCUAUAAAUGCCGUCAAGAGAGUGACGUGGCUCGGGUCGCAGUAGUGGCUAGGCCAACUGGACCUUUAUUCAUUUAGAAAUGCCGUCAAGAGAGUGACGUGGCUCGGGUCGCAAUAGUGGCUAGGCCAACUGGACCUUUAUUCAUUUAGAAAUGCCGUCAACAGAGUGACGUGGCCCGGGUCGCAGUAGAGGCUAGGCCAACUGGACCCAUGCUCCUUCGGGAAUGCCGUCGACAUAGUGACGAAGCCGCGCUCCAAGGGGGGGAGGCGAUGCCUAGCAUUAAUGUUAGAAGAUAGCCGAACUGCAAGUAGGCUAUGCCCUUGUGUGGCAGCAAAUAAUAAUUGGAAUGCGUGCUAAGUGCGGCUGUGAUUUAUAUGAAAGUGAUGGCGUUCCAAUUGUUUGAAUUAUUAUUACUACCUAUGAUUGAGUGAUUUGAAUUGUGCUAACCUGCAGAAAGGAUCUAAGGCAAGGUAAGUUCUCUAUGUGAUGUGGCUAGGCCACCCUUAGGCGUAUUUUCUUUCUAAUAGGGGUUUAGGGGGUUGAACUUGUUGAGACAUUGUCUCAUCCCGGUUUGGGGAUUAAAAUUUCAGGUCCCUAGAUGGCGGUCGUGGAGGACCCGAAGCCCUAAGUCUGGAAAGGUGGAGACUGAAGUAUCGGUGAACGUGUCCUGCUAGUUGGUUUUAGGAUAGUUCCCCUUUUAUCGAACUGGUCUAUUUUGUAGACGGUCCAGAGUUGUAUUUAAACCUAUGUGUUUGUAAAUGAGUGUUUGGUGUUGCGAUUGAUUGCCUUUUUUUCUAUACCAAGUUAAAUGUUGUCAGGGGAUUUGUUUCGCUUCCACAUGCGUAAUGAAAUGAAUGGGUCGGCGACAUAUCCUGGGAUGUCGCAUAUUUGAUUGACCGCAGUGGGAUGUGCGCGCACUCGGGGUUCAGGGCGUGACAUCCCCGUUUAAGUGGUAUCAGAGCAUGGUUUGUGUAUGGAGUGAUAAGGUGCGAUGAGUCACGAGAUAGUUAGUAGGAAAGGCUUUUAAUAUACUGAUGCAUGUGGUUAAUAGUUGUUUGGUAAUGUGUUUGUGGGGUCACUCAAAUUCUAACAUGAUGUUGGAAUCGGAAAACUGGCGUCUAUAAAGAGCCUGUAGCAUGAGUGACCAGGAGUGGAGAACUCCUUGGAGGAGGUCGAUAGGACUUGUACCUCGGGGUAAGAUGCUGACAAGAGUUGGUACCCGAGGUAGAGCGCAGGCUCAGUCUAGCGUGUGUGUGAGAGUACCGCCGUAGGCAGGUACUGAGAGUGUAGCAGCACCGAGCGAUCUUAGGUUCGUUGGGAUCGUUCAGGCACUAGUGUUCCUUGGAAGCUUGUUGGGUCAGUAAGCUCAGGACCAAGCUGCCGUUGUUGCCGUUAUUUCUACCAAUGCCAGUGUUAUGACCGUUGUUGUUGCCACGCCUAUUGAGGCCCAAUCUGGAGUGGUGAUCGAGGAUCAAGCCAUCGUAUCUAAGUCAAAGUUCAGCUUAAGCAGAGAUGGAAAUCGAUUGGGGAGAAAGGCCGAUGUUAGAAGAAAGGUGCCCUGUUUCACCCAACCGGAAGAGUAGAGUUGGAAAGUCAGUGUUCAACUCGAUCGAUGUGUGUCGUGUCUGUAAGAAAAGAAAGAGAUCUAUUCCGUGUUGUAAGAGAGAAAGGAUUUGUUACAAGGGUCGCUAGUACAGUCAUUUGAUCAAAGAUUGUCCGUAUAGACAGAUGGAAUCACAGCUGUUUCUAUCACCGCCGUUGUUAAGUCAAAACAGAGGAAGCAUGCUUUAAGAUGUUUAGUGGGGUACUUGGAAUGAACCUUAGUGCAAGGAAGGGUGCAUGAUGUUCCUUGAUGGGAGAUAACGAAUUCACUGGUCGUGUGCCGAGAUUGUGGAAAGGAGGCUUGAGUCAGCCUAGUGUUAGAGUAAAAAUGGGGACGUGCUUUGAAUGUGGCUAGCAUGGCCGUCAGGUUAGGAACUGUCCGUGUAAGUUUAGGAGAGUGUAAGCACCGUUACUGCAGAUAGAACGCCGCUAGGAUGGCGAAAGGAAUAGGAAUGGAUUGACUAUGCAUUAAUUAAGGGAAGAAUGUUUUGAGGUGUUUUAUCAGAGUAGCACAACAGGAUUUUGAGUGAAGGUUGUGGAGUUUCCGUUGUUGUAAUAAAGUAAUAGGAAGAUGAGUCUUUGACUAUAGUUAUACCUGAUGGGUUUGCUUAUGUAUGACUUGGAAGUCAUUUAUGAAAAGGUCUGGCUCGAGGAGCUUUCCGCUGUUAUGAAUCGUGGCAGUGAUAUAAUUCGGUUUGUUCAGUCAGCGUAUGAAAGUUUUGAAUUACUGAAAGUCGAAGAGGAACUUCAAUCCUUGUUAUUCGUCGUUGAAGAUGACUUGGUUCUAUUUGUUGGUUACCGAAUUUGCAUGGCAGCUGUAAUGGGUAUGUCAGUUGAGAAGCUGAAUAUGGAGAACAUAAUCAUGGUACAUAAGUUUUCUAAGGUAUUCUCUGAAGAAUUGUCAGGUUUGUUGUCAGAAAGAGAAAUAGAGUUCGUGAUGAAAUUAGCACCCGGAACAGAGCCAGUCCCUAAGGCUCCUUACCAGAUGGUGUUACCCGAGUUAAAAGAACUGAAGGUGUAGAUGUAGGAAGUGUUGGAUAGGGGAUUCAUACGUUCCAGUGCAUCAUCUUGGGUAGCAUCUUUUCUAUUCGUGAAGGAGAAAUGUGGUUCGUUGUAGUUGUACAUCGAUAUUCUUCAAGAUCGACUUGAGGUCAGGGUAUCAUUAGUUGAGGAUCAGGAAGAAAGACAUAUCGAAGUUAAGUCACACUCGAUACAGUAGUUAUGAGUUCACUGUAAUGCUGUGUGGUUUAAUGGACACCCCAACUGUUUGUUUGGGUUUGAUGAGCAGAAUGUUUAAGGACACUUGAAUCAGUUGUGAUCGUGUUCAUUGAAGUUAUCCUAGUGUGUUCGAAGAGUGCCGAGGGGCAUGAGAGACGUUUGAGGAUGGUACUUCAGACCUUAAGUACUCUUGGAUUUUACAAUAAGCUUAGCAGAUGCGAGUUUUGGAUGACUCGUGUUGCGUUCCUAGGUCUUGUGAUUUCAAGAGAAGGAAUCUCCGUAGGCCCCGUCCAAGAUUGAAGCAGCGACCAGUUGGCCGAUAUUGACUACAAUGACAGAGAUUGGAAGUUUCUGGGAAUUAGCAGGAUAUUACAGAAGUUUUAUGGAAGGGUUUUCAGCGUCAGCAUUGCAGUUGAUUCGACUACUGAGGAAGUAAGAAAAGUUUGUGUGGUCAGAUGAGUGCGAGCGUAGUUUUCAAGAGCUUAAGCAGAAGCUGACUACCGCACUUGUGCUGACCAUUCCAUCUGGUCUUGAAAGUUAUGAGAUCUGCAAUGAUGCAUCGUUUAAAGGAUUUGGUUGCUUGUUGGUGCAACAAGAUAGGGUUGUUGCAUAUGCGUUCCGUCAGUUAAGACCUCGGGAGUUGAAUAUGAGACAGCGUUGUUGGAUGGAACUCAUUAAGGAUUAUGACUAUGAUAUUUUGUAUCACUCUAGAAAAGUGAGCAAAGUCACAGAUGCACUGAGUCGAGAGUCCUUAGUUGCACAGUUGGUACUCAAGGAUUGGAUCUUAUUUGAGAAAGUUCGAAAUUCGGUUUUCAAAUCUAAGGUAGGCCACAUUUUGAAUCUUAUGACUACCCUCAGAAUUGAGCCGAGAGUACAGAUCAGAAUCAAAUCGUUUCAGUGGACAGAUUUAGAAAUUCAGAAGACUUUAUAAGAGAAUGCAGAUGAGGGAGAGGUUGAGUUUCAGAUCUCUGAAAACAUAAUGCUAAGGUUCUAAGGACGAUUGUGUGUAAUUGACGAUGCAGAGAUUAAAGAAGAGAUCUUAUGGGAAGUUCAUCAUAGCAAUUUCAGAGUCAUCUAGACGGUGCGAAGAUGAGUUAGAAUCUACAUCAUCGGGAUUGGUAGAUCAGUAUGAAGAUAGAUAUCGCCGAACACGUUGUAAGUGUUGAAUGUAUCAAUAAGUGAGAAUUUGGUAAUGUAAACCAGGAAAGCUUUUUCAAGCAUUUGAGAGAGUCAUGUGUAGGAAUGGAAGUAUAGCAUGAUGGAAUGUUAUGACAGCUUAUUAAGGAGUCGGGAAGAGUAUUGAUUCCUUAUGGGGUUGUGGUCGACAGAUGCACAAAGUCAACUCACCUUAGUGCAACACGAAAAGAUCUCGAUUAGAAUAGAUAUACCGAAGUGUGUGUAUAUCAUAUAAAUCAUCUGCAUGGAGUGCCGGGGAUGCAUUGUAUUUCAAAUCUAGAUCAGAUUCCAAGCUGGCAGAGCUUUUAGAUGGUUCCUUCUUAAGUAGCACAUAGCAGAGAGUGCAGAAUUUCAAUUGCUGAGAUGAAGUCAAGGAAAGAAAGAUCACAGGCCAGGGUUAGUACAACAGUCAGUGAUUGCAGUUGCCGAAAUCAGUGUCAAAGUUAUAUCAAAUCUUGACCAGAGGUUCCCAGUUUCAGCAGAUCAGUCAGAUAGUUUCUUUUUUUAUCAGUGCAGAGCAGAGUGUUCAGGACUUCAAUCGGUUAAGAUGAGAUCAGAGAUCAGAAAAUCGUAGGUCCAGAGUUUGUCCAGAAAUCAGUGAUUCGGUCGUGAUUAUUAGAGACAGUUUAGAGACUGCUCAGAAUCGCCAGUUUAGUUUCGCAGAUUUUGUAUUGAAGACCUUUUGAAUUUUAAGUGGGCAAGUGUUUAGUAUUGUGCAUCCGAAGUGGUUUGGGCAAGAUAGCAGUGAUCUGGCAUCGCUGAUAUAGAAAGAGCAACCUGAGAAAGAGAAUUCUAGAUGAGACGAGUGUACCCCCACCUUUUUGUUUAAGAAUUGGUAAAGGUUUAAAUUUCGAGGACGAAAUUUUUAUAAGAGGGUAAGAGUUGUAACAUCCUGAUUUUCCAAUUCUAUUUUCAAUAAAUUGAGACGGGCAUUUCGUUGGCACGCAUAUAGUUUUUUUAUCCUUGAGUCGGCCACUCAUGUGAAAACUAGUUUAUCGGGUGAAGCCGUUAAGAAAUUCUAAAGCAUCAGACUUGAGAAUUUGACCAAGAAGCGAUCUUUCGACCGAGCUAAUCUGCAAGGGUCAUUACGACACAAUUAAAAAUCGAUUAGAGAUCGGAAAUAGGUCGACUCGAUAGAGGCAUGUAAUCGGGUGUGGGUGAUUCCACCAGAUUGCACAAUUCUUGUGGAUCUGCACUGGACUGACUUUUCUGUCGAUUGGGUACCCUGUGUUCGUAUUUGAAACCUUGAGAUUACCCCGACAACCGAAAGUCGCCAAUGUUUCAAAGAUGUACGUUGUGGCUUGAGAUAAUCAACCACAGGUCAAAUGCAUGAAAAUUUCUAAAGGCUACCCGGUAGGUUGGACCGCGCUGGUAUCGUGCCAAAGUGAAAUUAACCGUGGAAUUGAGAUCGAAUUCAGAAAUUGGAAGUCUGGGUGUGUCACAAAUCAUUUCAGGAUCAUUGAAUCAUCUUUGGAAGAUUUUUCAUGCAAUCAGAGUUUUUCAGCAAUUAAAUCAGAGAAUGGCUAAUUUGGCUCGAGAAAUUAGUAGGCUCGUCUUUAGUCGCGCUUUUGGGACUUAAGUCGGUUCUAUGGACAAGUGAAGAUGUGAAUUAGAGUGUGGUGGCAUUGGAUUAAUUUUAUGGACUUCAAUUUGAUUCAAUUGGGAGAGAAUUGAUUGGAAUUGAAGGAAUUGAUGUACAAAGUUUUAUGCCCCGGCAGAAAAUGGAAUUGCAACCAUUAGAAUAAGGUUGUGGGAGAUAGUGGAGUGUGAUGUCAUCCUAGGUCAUGGUGGGCCAUUUUUGUUGGAUAAAAAAAAGAGAAAAAGAAAAUAAAAAGGGCCUCCCUCCUUCUCUCUCCUCCCUCUCUUCUUCCUCUCUCCCGUGCGACCACUCUCCAUCUCCAUUUUCUUCUCCAGCUUCGAACCCAGCAACCAGAAGCCAGCAGCCGUCGCAGCUGCAGCUGGAGCCGUCGUCGCCUUUGCUCGUCCGCUCGUCGUCGCAGCCGCGCCUCGCCGCUUGGACCUCGGCCUCCCUCUCUCCUCUCUUCUCCAUCUCCGGUUUCUGCUCCAAGACCCAGCAGAUCUGAGCACGCCGAGGAUGGCUGCAGCUCAGCCGAACCGCCGUUCGCCGCUCGCCCGACCAGCUCGCCCGUCGCCGAAGCUCGUUGCUGUCGCCAUUCGUCCACAUGCACGUUGUCUUGUGCGCGAGCUACUCCGCCCUCCUAUCUCUGCUUCGUCCGCGCGCCAGCAGCCAUCGUCCGUCGUCCCGAGCUGCCGGAGCUCGUCCCCGUCACCGUGAGCCGCCAUUGACCUCCCCACCCGCCCGUCCAAGCCCUCGCCGGUUUCCUCCGCCCAUUCCGACGCCGGAUCCGCCCUUCUCGGCCCCAAAUCAGCAGCUGGAAAAUGGGUAUGGCAGCUCAUGUUUGGCCCGUUUUGGCCGUCUUCCUGAGCCCGCACGCUUGGCCCGCCUUGAGGAAAGUCGAUCAUCGCGUUGUCCCUGUCGUUUUGGUCCGCUCGGUUCGUUAAUCCGGUGAGUUUAGCUCACUAAACCUUGAUUAGAGGAUUAAUGAUGCUUUAGGGGUGCUUAGUUUAUGUUAAGUGUUAUUAGGUGGUUAGUUUAAUUUAUUUAAGUGUAGAUUAUAUUAAGGUGUUUGAUUAACUUAAAUUGUGUUUAAUUUAAGGUUAAGUGAGUGGUUAUAUUAAUAUAAGCGUUGAUGUGACAUAAAGGAAUUUACUUUUGAGUUAUUUAAAUAUCCCGAAAUUAUUAAAUAAUUUAAUAAUAUAUUAUUAUUCGAAAUUAUUAAAAUAUUAUUAUUUAAUUAUUUUCGGAAUAAAUUUAAUUAUUUAUUAAAUUCCGAAAAUUUUGUCAGUACCUUAAAUUCUCAUAAUUUCGUGCCGGUCGCUGCUGUAGUCAAAUUUUGAAAUUGAUGAUUGGAUAUUAUAAAUUGAGUGUUGAUUGUGAUAAAUAGAGAUUUUAUUCAUAAAAACCCAAGUGUCGGGUUUGGCAUUGAAAUUGGAUUUUUAAUGGUUAAUAUCGUAAUUGGAUUAUGUGAGUGAAAUGUAAAGUAUCUAGGGAUUGAUAUCGAAUUGUCGUGUGCUGGUUGAAAGGCUCGGAUCGCAGUAGUGGCUAGGCCAACUGGACCCUUAUUUUGCUAUAAAUUUCGUCAAGAGAGUGACGUGGCUCGGGUCGCAGUAGUGGCUAGGCCAACUGGACCUUUAUUCAUUUAGAAAUGCCGUCAAGAGAGUGACGUGGCUCGGGUCGCAGUAGUGGCUAGGCCAACUGGACCUUUAUUCAUUUAGAAAUGCCGUCAAAAGAGUAACGUGGCUCGGGUCGCAGUAGUGGCUAGGCCAACUGGACCUUUAUUCAUUUAGAAAUGCCGUCAACAGAGUGACGUGGCCCGGGUCGCAGUAGAGGCUAGGCCAACUGGACCCAUGCUCCUUCGGGAAUGCCGUCGACGUAGUGAUGAAGCCGCGCUCCAAGGGGGGGAGGCGAUGCCUUGCAUUAAUGUUGGAAGAUAACCGAAUUGCAAGUAGGCUAUGCCCUUGUGUGGCAGCGAAUAAUAAUUGGAAUGCGUGCUAAGUGCGGCUGUGAUUUAUAUGAAAGUGAUGGCGUUCCAAUUGUUUGAAUUAUUAUUACUACCUGUGAUUGAGUGAUUUGAAUUGUGCUAACCUGCAUAAAGGAUCUGAGGCGAGGUAAGUUCUCUGUGUGAUGUUGCUAGGCCACCCUUGGGCGUAUUUUCUUUCUAAUAGGGGUUUAGGGGGUUGAACGAGUUUGGGGAUUAAAAUUUUAGGUCCCUAGAUGGCGGUCGUGGAGGACCCGAAGCCCUAAGUCUAGAAAGAUGGAGACUGAAGUAUCGGUGAAUGUGUCCUGCUAGUUGGUUUUAGGAUAGUUCCCCUUUUAUCGAGCUGGUCUAUUUUAUAGACGGUCCAGAGUUGUAUUUAAACCUAUGUGUUUGUAAAUGAGUGUUUGGUGUAGCGAUUGAUUGCCUUCUUUUCUAUCCCAAGUUAAAUGUUGUCAGGGGAUUUGUUUCGCUUCCACAUGCGUAAUGAAAUGAAUGGGUCGGCGACAUAUCCUGGGAUGUCGCAUAUUUGAUCGACCGCAGUGGGAUGUGCGCGCGCUCGGGGUUCGAGGCGUGACAUUUACUUUCAAUCACAACCUAGCUCGAAUCAUCAGGGGCCGCCGGAAUCGAACCGGCAUCGACCAUAAGAACGCGUGGCAACAAGGCACAAUCCGCAAUCGGCGACAAGGAGGGAAGGGAAAGAGGGGAGGGGAGGAGCAAUCGGCUCGCGAAGGAACAUGGGCGGAAUCCGCCCGAUUCUCUCUUCUCGAUCUCCCUCCACAUUCUUCGAGCAUCUUCGUCCUCUCUCUCUCCCCCCACUUCGCCCCUCCGUCCUCAAAAGCCACGGACGAACUUGGGAAGAAGGAGAUUCAGGGCGUCUGCGAAAUGUUCUGGUUCGAGCCCAGGAACAAGAUGGAAAAGACGACGACGGUGAAGAAGAAGCUGAUUCGAGAAUUCCAAAAUUUGUGUUUUUUCCUUUUUAUGUGCCGAGAUUUACCGGCCCAAUUCGGGGAACUGUUGGGAGAUUUGAACUGGGCUCCUGAACUAGGUUAUGAUCGAAAGUGUUUUUCUGAUACCUGAACAAGCAAGGGACGUUUUUAUCUUUUCUAUCCUUCAACUCCCCCUCUCUUUCUCUCUCCUCCUCCUCCUCCUCCUUCUUCUACGUGGGUUUUCCGGGAAAAUAAGGAAAACAGCCAGAAAGCACAGGGAAAGAGAGAGACAGAGAGAGACCCGGAUCAGUCAAACGAAGCCUCGCGGUGCCUUUUGCGGGUCGUGUGUUUUCUACUCUGGGCGAAAGCACGAUACCAGUAGAUCACUAUAGGCGCUCCGUUUCAGGUGCUACUGUGUAUAUUAAUGGCGGAAUCUUGGCGGAGUUAUAGCCGUGCGCAGACAGCGGAGUGGAUACGAAUGGAGGAGACGAGGUUGAAGACACCUCAAACCCGAACGGCCCCACCCACAUAUAAAUAGGAUCUUCCUCGUCGCAGCCAGAAAUACCGAUUUUGCCGCCUUCUUUUUCUUUUUCUUUUUCUUUUUCUUUUAUUUCUUUUGGGCAAUGAUCCUUUUUUUUUCCCCGAAUUUCGUUAUUUGAAUUUCUUGAAUGAGCCCCGCGAUUUACUCCACUGCCUAGCAUGCUUAUGCACGAGCGCAAGCAAUUGCAAACGUAGGAUUUGGAUUUGGACAGACACGUUAGGCAAUUUAGCCAAGUAAGGAGCGAAGUAUAUUUUAUUCAACCUUGAAGUGUGUUUAUCAUUUAUUCAAACCGAAAUUUUCACACACACACAUAUAUACAUAUAUAUCUCAAGAUAGAAAUCACAGUUAUCAAGCAAAUAAAGAGAUAGACAGAGGAAAUUAUAAUCUUCCAGUCCAGAAUAGAUAAGGCUAUUUGUGUAAAAUUCCUUUUAUAUGAGUGCGUAGGAGCUAUUUGUGCAUGACGCACCAAUCGUAGGUGAGCGAUUGCUUCCUUGGGAGUACCCAAUCAUAAUAAUAAUACUUGCAUGUCGAAGAAAGUCAACUAAAAAAUUUAUGACGUCAUAGAAGUUUGUCAAAGGAGUAACUUGAGACAUUUGACACUCAGCAAAAAGAUAAAAAUAAAAGAUUUUUUUUUUUUGUGACCUAGGAAACCCCGAAAGCCGAUAGCCAGCAGGAAGAACCUGGGGGCAACAUGGGGAAACCACCACCCCAUGCCACCGGGUAAGUCACCAAGUAACUCCACUAGCCCCCUUGCGUUGCAAGGGCUUUGAACCUCUCCCCUCCCACGCAGAAGAUCACUAAAGCCUACCCAGCGGAGCCACCAGGGCCAGUGGUAAGAUUUUCUUUUAUUGUUUCUAUGCAACGAGUCCUCAAAAGGAAUUUCUAAAAAAUGCAGAGCUAUAUUGGGUCAAAGGGACUUCCCUCAGAAAUUGUGAAACUACGGGAGAAAAGGUUAUGUAUUCAAUAAAUUACUCAUAUUUACGCGUCACUCUAAUCUUAUGUGGUGAGUCCUUGACCAAUUUCCAAGCUAUUAGAAUUUUAGAAUAAUUUCUUCACUUCUCAAUAGUUGUUUCAUGAUAAAUUGAUUUGCUUAUCCCAAAUUAUGAAAUCUAAAAUUAUAUAUGAACAUGCAUUUAUUGAGACAUCUUAAAAAUUUCAAUGCGUUCCCACCAUCAUUUAUUAUUUAUUAUAUAUAAUAAUGGAGAUGUCAUUUGAAAUUUCAGAUCUUGAUGUAUGCACUGGGAUAACUAAUCAUAUUUCUUCUAUGAAAGUUUUAGCUGGCUCAAAAUUCUUGGCCUAUGCCUCUCUUGAUUAAGAGGACCUUUUGUUAAAUGGUGUUUGAGUACUUAACGUGGACUCCCAUUCAUAGAAUAGUCCUUUAUCAAACAUUUAAUAUGAGCAAAUCAUCAUAAGAUUCUUACGCACUGUCAAGAAUUUAAAAUGUGGAAUCUAACUUUUAUAAUUCUUAAGUAUGUUAAUUGCGAUAAAAUAAGAGUCCUACGGUACUUUCCUUGUUGUAGAGCCAACUUUAUGUUACAAUAGAAAUACAUUAACCCUUAUCAUGCUGUGCAUCCACAUUAUGCGACCCAUUGAUAUGGUGUCACCAAUUGAUAAAAGUGCUAUGGUUUAGAAAAUUACAAAAUAAUUCGGGCUAAGUACUUUAGGUUGGUCUUAACUUAGGAGUUACUCGAGUAGAAACCCCAUUUCAGUUAUGUGAAAGUGGUGUACAUUUUAGUUUUUUGGUCGAAAGGAUGAGUAAUAUUAACAUAACGGAGAGUAAUUACAAACAGCACAACCAGCCGCUAAAGCAUCAAAACAAAGUAAGGUAAGCAAAAAGGAGGGCGGCGAGGUAGCCCAAUCUUGAGAGAGGAGCCCAUUUCGAUGAGCCUUUGCAGCCCAAUCCACAACAGAGUUCGCUUGCUGUUUGCAAUGCGUUACCCUAGUAGAAAAGAAAUCGAGAGAGGAGGCUGAUGGCCUCUGCAGCGAUUGCACGAGCUUCCCAUGGCAAUGGCGUAGAGGCAUUGAUCGAUUCUACUAAAAUAAGGUUGUCUGACUCGAUGAUCAACCGAUCUCGUUGUCUUCCAGUGUCUAGCAGAUGGUAAAGAGUGAUAGUAAGAGCCAUGAACUCUACUUGUGGAGCUGUCGAGGCGUUGAAAUCUCUGGUGAGUCCAUCAACCAACCUCCCAUUUUGACCCCUACAAAUACACGCCAUAGUCCCUGUUUUGCUGUGAGGUCGAAAAGCUCCAUCUAUAUUUAUUGGAAAAAGUAUUAGAAUACAUAAAAUAAUAAUAAUUAUUGGAAAUACAUUACAAAAGAUUAGAAAAUAAAAAGAAAUGUCUGAGGCGUGCAAACACUCGGUGCGUAAGGCUUCAGCAGCUAUCCUCCCAAGAUACAACAGACCUUCUUUUAUACUCCGCACUGAAUAUUAGAAGGAAACAGAACAACUUUUGUGUAUAACCCAACAAAAAGAAAAUGAAAGCUGUGAGAACAUAUUGUAUCUACUACGAUUGUGGUUUGAAGUUUAAUUUAUAUUUAAAAAAGGAAAAGAGAGAGCCGUUAAGAAAUUACAAUAAAUCAAUUGGUAAUUAAAAAGAUGACUGUUAUAAAAUAAUGAAGAGUUUAUAAAGUAAUAAAUCAAAAGUUAUAAAGCCGUUAGAUGACCAUUAUAUAACCAUUAGAAAGCCAUUAUAUGACCAUUGAAAAAGCCAUUACAAAAAUGAUAACUUUCAUGACGAUCAUAAUUUCUAAUUAAUAUUUCAAAACUACUUAAAUAUCCAACAAUCCCCCGUAUAUUUCAAAAAGUUCUGACAAGAAAAUAAAAUAAUGCUAGGUUAUUGAAGAGUAAUGCAUCGGAAUAGGUGCUUAUUAGGCUAUGAACCAACCCUAGAAAGAAUGAAAUAUAAUUCAUGAAAUCACUAGUGAAGUUUGAAACUUCUAUGAACCAAGAAUUUCUUUUUGUGAAUUAUAAUUUUCACCAAUCACAUUACACUCCCACAAACUUUGUUGUUCAACGCGGUUUUGCGCUAAUAGGCCAUGCGCGUGCUUGGUUUAUUCAUAAGUGCUUUAGAGAUUUUCGCCAAAAAUUCUCAUAGGAGCGGCCCCACCCCACACUUAUAUAGGUGAUUCCAUCAAGUGUAUUCUGCAAUUUAAUACACCACCAAUAAUGGCUAUAGAAUUUCAUUAAGAGCUUAGUUCAACCUCUUUUUCCUUGCAAUUUUGCACUAUUUUCACCUUAGGAUGGACAAUAAUUUUUAAUAGUGUACUAGAUCAACAAAUGACUUGUUAUUACCCAUAUGAAUCUAAUUCAUGAGAUCGCCAAUCACAUAGGUUGGGUUACUAUUAUUGUUUAUUUUCUUCAAUUGACUUGUCCAUUCCCCUCAAUGUAUAGUCAAAGGAUUGGCCAAAAUCCAUUUUUGAUUUCAUAUAAUUAAUGGACAUAAUUCCAUCAUUAAGCAACUGCUUUACCACGUCAUCCCUCAAUCGGAUUUGUCAAUUUUUAUCAUAUCUAUGCAUGGCUAUUGCCUCUUGGCAAUCAUGAUAUAUAAACACAAAAUGUGUCAUUUUCCCAAAGGAAUAUCUGCUGAGAGUUUCUCAAUUACUCGGCCUCAUUUUCAUAUAUGAGUUUGAGAAAAAAAAAUUCCUUUUCCUCAAGAACUUGAAUAGUUCACAAUUUACCAAAAAAAUAGUAAAUAUUUUCUUCUCCUUCACCCAUUGGAACCUAAGAGGAUAAGGCAUUUUGUUUACACAUAUAUGCCUGGUAGCACUUGAGUCUACCACCCAUAAUUUCUCGAUUAGCCACAAUAUUGGCAUGGGAAUGACCACAUCAAUUACUUCAUCAAAUCAUCUACUUCAACCAAGUUGACUCUUGGUUUAGCAGGAUUGCCAUUUCCCCCACGAUUUCAUUUGAUUGAUUUCCACCGGGUGAACACAUAUUUGUUAGUGGAUUUUAUCUAAUAUGAAUUCAAGAUCCAGUUAACAUCACCGUAUCCUUAUAAUACAGUGGAAAAUCCACUAUAAUAAACUUGACAAUAAUCACCUUUUAACAAAAUAUUUCACAAAAGACAUCAAUCUUAUUCAAUAUAGAUCUAUGUUGGCUAUGGAUGCAAAGAAAUAAAAAUAAAUUUCAUCUCCACAACAUUCACUAAAGGAGAUUCUCUUUCCCAAUACAGUAGCCAAUCAAGUCUCUAAUUAUCAUCAUGCAUGAAUGGACAUUCAACAUAAAUUGACAAAGUAAAUAUUCUUACAAAGAACAUUUUUUUUUUUACAUCAUUACUGCUGUCAAUAAUACAUGUUAUUCCAAAAAUGUUAACCAAAACUCAGAGGUUAGCAGAAAUCCAAAAUGAAUUAAUAAUUUCACAAAAUAACUAUAAGACUUCCUUUGAGUGUUAUAUACGAAUCACCAAAAAUGUCUCAACAAUGCAUACUCAAUACAAAACAUGUAAUCAAUUUAAUUAUGCAAUAAAAUACUAUUUAAUAAUUCUAUCAAAAGUUAUGCGUGAAAAAUUCGAUCGUUGCAAAAGAGACAUUACAAUCUUUAACCCAUAAAUUUGUGGCUAUUAUUCUAAUAAAUUCAAGAAUAGAAUCACAGCAAUUUUGACAAGAAAAAUAUUUGAACUAAAACUUUAGUAGUCAUAAAUAUACUGCCAACAAUGUUUUACACUUGUAAAACUCAAAGUAGACUUUAACUCUUUAAGCAACAUUUAAAUGUCUGAAAUGUGAAAUAUAAAAAAUAUCACAAAAGGCAGGAUGCAAAAGGCAUACUCACUAAAUUGCCGAUUACGCUAAUAUAGCUAGAAAAGUAAUUAAUGGCAAAUAUUGGGGUGUAUCAUUAGUCAAUUGAAUAGUAGUCGCCCAAUUAUUCUUUCAGCUUGUGCUUGCUAAAUUGGGUCUCCAUUCUAUUCUCUUUCUAUCAAGCAUAAUUCCAUGUCGUUGAGAAGGCAAGAAUCUGCCACCAUUCUAAUGCUAGAGAAGUUCUAUAUGUGCGUGGACGAGAGAGAAGUACCAUAUCUUCAUGUAUUUAUCAAACAUACACAUUGUCAUGCAGCAAAUACCAACACAUGUAUGAGCAUAUACAUAAAUAGAGGCCCACGCUGCACUUCCAAGCAAGCAUGAAUAAAGAUAUGCCACCAAAUACCAACACAAGCUCGUGUCUACACUUACUUGAGCAUAUUGGCAUGGACAUCACCAACCGAAUAAUGAUUGUAUGCACUCUAGCAUAUUCCCAAGAAUGACAAGACAAAACUGUGAGGAAUACUUAAGAAUUUUGUUCCAUAGUCAAAUGGCACCUAUUUUCAAAAUCUAUAAGCACAAUAAUAUAAGGUAAAAAGAGCGUAAUUUUAGUGGUAAAACACAAAAAUCCCACAUGACAGCAUCCAUUGUUUCGCUAAAAAUAAUUAUAUAUAACCUGGUCCAACAUGGGCGAGCUCGAUAAGUUUCUGUAGAGAUGGAGCCAAAGACAAAUUAAAUAACAGGCAAAAACAGUUAUAAACUGGCUUCAUGAAUGUACAUUAAACAAAUGUUAGCAAGAGAAUAGGAAGAAUUAAGAACAAAUGGAAACUAUUUUGAGUAACAGAGAAGCGCCCCAAUUUCUAAUCCUAAAUGGAUGAUUAUUAAAAUAAUCACGAACUUGAGAGAGAAAACACCUACACACGUCCGACUUUCUAUUGGAAAAACAAGUAUAGGUAUUAAAGCCCCAAAAUAAAAAUAAAUAUAUAAAAGAAAUAUUAGCCCGAUUUCUUUCCAUUUCUUUUAUGGUUUUCCUUUUCUAUUUCUUUUUAAUUACCACACGGAAUCACUAUGUCAUUUUUAAAGAUUUUCUACAUAGGUAAUUUUGAAAAUUUGUAAGCAUCUUCCGUAAAAGUAUAAGACCACACAUUCAUGGAAUAUGUCUAACAAGAUCAAAUCAAAUCUAAAGAGAACACACAAGCUCGUAAUGCCAAAUUUCACAUAUUAGAAUGAAAGGAUCAUGACCUAUGUGAUGAUUAUUCCUCAAAAUGUGGAAAUAGCGUGCCAAAAUGGCAAUUACACCUUUCAAGUAUUAAUUUAGAAUUUCCAAAAAACGACAUACUUGAAACUCAAUAACCUUACCAAAACGACCAAAAGCUAUAUUGUGUUAAUGCUUGAUACCGUCCCAUGACAAACCACCCAAGAAUAUGUGAUACUCGUCCUUCACCAUCUCCAAAUCCUUGUUUAAUUCCAACGUCAGUGGAAGCACCAACAGUUCCAAUUUUGAAAGCUAUAAGGGAAUUAUCCUUAAGAUUGUUGGGAAAAGUAUUAGAAUACAUAAAAUAAUUAUUAUUAUUGGAAAUACAUUACAAAAGAUUAGAAAAUAAAAAGAAAUGUUUGAGGCGUGCAAACACUAUCCUUAAGGAUAAUUCCGCUCCUCGGAGUACGUAACUCGGUGCGUAAGGCUUCAGCGUCUAUCCUUCCAAGAUACAACAAACCUUCUUCUAUACUCUGCACUGAAUAUUAGAAGGAAACAGAACAACUUUUGUGUAUAACCCAGCAAAAAGAAAAGGAAAGCCGUGAGAACAUAUUGUAUCUACUAUGAUUGUGGUUUGAAGUUUAAUUUAUAUUUAAACAAGGAAAAGAGAGAGCCGUUAAGAGAUCAUCAUAAAUCAAUUGGUAAUUAAAAAGAUGAUUGUUAUAAAAUAAUGAAGAGUUUAUGAAGUAAUAAAUCAAAAGUCAUAAAGCCAUUGGAUGACCAUUAUAUAACCAUUAGAAAGCCGUUAUAUGACAAUUGAAAAAGCCAUUACAAAAAUGGUAACUUUCAUGACGAUCAUAAUUUCUAAUAAAUAUUUCAAAACUACUGAAAUAUCCAACAAUAUUCACCUUAAUGCAGCCUGGAUCUGGAGGUCUCCACAGUUCGCCAAGGUUGAUUUGCAGCUGUCCUAUUGCUGCUCUUGUUCCUGUUCCCGAUGAUUUGCAAUGGGAUAAACAAGCAGCUCUGGCGGUGGCGAGGGCCACUUCGACAACUUGCAUCACAUCCAACGCUGGCGACGAAAUAUAAAACCAUUACGCGCUUUCCAGAUUUGCCAAAGGACAAAGGCCACCAUUUCUAGAUCGGGUGAGGAGUAAUUUAUGUUGAAACUAUCUGCAAUCCAUUCGUCAAGUCUCUGUAUUCCCUGCAGAUCUAUUUGAAAGUUGAUUUUCAAGUGCGACCAUAUAGAUUUCGUCCAUGGACAAAGUAGGAAAAUAUGCUCUACUGUUUCCAGUAUUUGGUUUUGGCAGAGAGUACAUACGUCGAUGAUAUAGAUUGGCUUUAGUGGGAAGGGCAUUGUGACAUAGCGACCAUAGAAAUACCCAAACUUUGGGCUCUAUCUUCAGCUUCCAUAGUUGUUUCCAUAGAAUCGCCAGAGUCUGGUAAGAGCAUAUUGCUGUAUGUUGAUUCUUUGUGACCUCGGCAUUUUUUAUUGCAUGGUAGCCGCUUUUAAUGGUGUAAUCACCAUCAGUAGUUGCUGUCCAAAUGAGCUUAUCUCUGACAUAAACAAGUCUAACCUGAAUUGCGAGAAUUUCUUGGACAAUAGAUUCAUCGUAUAAGUUAUGAAGCAGUGGAAUAUUCCAGUCAUGUGUCUGCAUGUUGAGCAAUUCAGCAACCUUAGCUAGUUCAUUGCAGUUUGCAGGUCCUUCCAAAAUGGAUUACAUAUUAAUACAUAGACUCUUAUUGAAUGCUUAGGUGUAAGGUUUUGAUAUGAGCCUCUUUUCUUUAUCUUUUUUUGGUAAAUAUUCAUGAUGAUUUGCCACAUCUGACAUCACUUCGUACAUUAAGGUCAUAAAGGUUUCUAAUUAUAAGGCCACAUUAUUAUUUUCAUUGUGAUACUAAAUUCAUAGUUAUGUAGUGACAACCACAAACUUUUUAUAUUGUAUCACUGCUACAAAUCAUGUGGUUUGACUAAAUCCUACCAUGCUUUUCUCUAUGAUGUAAUCUCCAAUUUGUGCAAUUCUUGCUCUGCCGAAAAGUUAUUAAUUUUAUUUAUUGAUAAGUCGCUUGUGUUCUCUCAAGCUUUACCUAAAAACAUUAAGAAAAUAGAAAUUAUAGAUUGGGAAUGGAGAAGGCUUCCCACAACCACUCUUUGCCAAAAAAAAAAAAAAAAAGACCCAACAAAUUUGUGGCAUUGAAUAAAUCCAUAUCAGAACAACUGGAAUUGAUGAUGUCAGGCGCGACUAUUUUGCACGAUAAGAAUGUAUCCUAAAAUAAAUAUAAAUUAUAAAAUGAAAACUUAAAUAUAAUAUGACAUGACAUGCCACACUUAACUUCAUAUUUGAACACAAACUCACAAACAUAUAUAUAUAUAUAUAUGGUAAGUACAAACUCACAAAUAUUAACGUGGCUUCAUCGUAUUUUAGUUAUUUGGCAUAUAGAAUCAAAAUCUAUAUGUUUCUAGGUCUACAUAAAUUCGAAUUAUAAUAUUAAUCAUGACAUGUCAACACGAACUGUCACCCCUAAUACCAAGAGUAACUUGCACGUCAUCCAUACAUCUCUCGGUACACAAGAAGAGCUGAACCCAACAACAGCAGUGCCACGGAAAGUAGAGCCGACUGUACAGCGGCUGACAAUGGAAUGCGUCCUUUAUCCGACCUUACCAUCCCUUCAAUCACAGGGUAGCUCAUCACCAGGAUGA
This 41529-nucleotide long non-coding RNA is filed under the name Eucalyptus grandis. Its description in RNAcentral is "long non-coding RNA (EGRA_LNC002601)". The record is from RNAcentral. Lineage: Eukaryota; Viridiplantae; Streptophyta; Magnoliopsida; Myrtales; Myrtaceae.